RNAcentral lists this ribosomal RNA (253 nucleotides) under uncultured bacterium. RNAcentral describes it as "partial 16S ribosomal RNA". It matches the Rfam family "Bacterial small subunit ribosomal RNA", at positions 524 to 776 of the family's 1533-position model. The record is from RNAcentral.
UACGUAGGGGGCUAGCGUUGUCCGGAAUCAUUGGGCGUAAAGAGCGUGUAGGCGGCCCGGUAAGUCCGCUGUGAAAGUCAAAGGCUCAACCUUUGAAUGUCAGUGGAUACUGCCGGGCUAGAGUCCGGAAGAGGCGAGUGGAACUCCUGGUGUAGCGGUGGAAUGCGCAGAUAUCAGGAAGAACACCAACGGCGAAGGCAGCUCGCUAGGACGGUACUGACGCUGAGACGCGAAAGCGUGGGGAGCGAACAGG